Long non-coding RNA from Alosa sapidissima (American shad), 743 nucleotides. RefSeq lists it as uncharacterized. The record is from RefSeq and is a predicted model, not a curated record. The transcript has 4 exons. Lineage: Eukaryota; Metazoa; Chordata; Actinopteri; Clupeiformes; Clupeidae.
UACAAGAUGAGAUACAGUCGGCAAGAUAAGACAGCAGUGUUGCAGCCACUGGGAAUGGUCGAGACUUAACUACCCAUAAUCCAUUGUCACUCCAUAGAAAACGCACAAUUUGAAUCAGGUGUGAUGGGAGGUUGGUAAAGCUGCGCCUGCAGUUAUAAAAACAUUUGUUUGAACAGGCAUUGUGCACUUUUAGUCCGGGAAUCUAGGGAGAUAACAGGAGCACACAGGCUAAGACGCACAGUCAGAAGCAGCACUGAACAUGUCGGACUCUGAGAGCGCUGCUGUCCUUGCUGAGGCCCCCGUGCCCGCUGCCUGUGAGGCCAUCAAGGCUGACCUGGACAAGUGUGUGAAAGAGAAUGGUGAGGAGGGCUGCAAGGAGCUGAUGGAGGCGUUCGCAGCCUGUGUGAAGAGCGCUGCUGGGGCAUCGUGAGGAGAGGAGCUCGGCUCACAGGAAAUGUCCACUGCACUGAGUCCUCCACCUUCCCAGCAUUCCCUUCUGCACAUGGCACUGGACUGAAUGAUACAGAUUCUGAUGGGGGGUUUGGUGGCAGAGUCUUCGUCUUGUCCCCUUGAUCCACCCCCCCCUCCUGUAAAGCUUAAGUGAUUUCUGAGCCUCCCCCUCUGUCCCCUGCCCCUAUGGCUGAAUUGUAGGCAGUUCUGGAGAGCCCAUGGCUGUUAUGUAAAUUGUCUUCUCAAGAUGCUUACAUUUAAAUGCAAAUAAUAAAGUGAUGAUUGGUACAGUG